Molecule: ribosomal RNA, 17 nt
Filed under: Phytophthora cactorum
Lineage: Eukaryota; Oomycota; Peronosporomycetes; Peronosporales; Peronosporaceae
Also listed under: 2 other names
Description: partial 28S ribosomal RNA
Source: RNAcentral
UGGACCUGAUAUCAGGC